AGCUCGUGCCGUGAGGUGUUGGUUAGUCCGCAACGAGCGCAACCCUCAUUGUUAGUUACUACCAUUCAGUUGAGGACUCUAAUGAGACUGCCAACGACAAGUUGGAGGAAGGUGGGGAUGACGUCAAAUCAUCAUGCCCUUUAUGACCUGGGCUACAAACGUACUACAAUGGCCAAUACAAAGAGAUGCGAAGCGGUGACGUGGAGCGAACCUCAGAAAGUUGGUCUCAGUUCAGAUUGAAGUCUGCAACUCGACUUCAUGAAGGCGGAAUCGCUAGUAAUCGCGGGUCAGCAGACCGCGGUGAAUACGUUCCCGGGUUUU
This 321-nucleotide ribosomal RNA is filed under the name uncultured Mollicutes bacterium. RNAcentral describes it as "bacterial SSU rRNA". It matches the Rfam family "Bacterial small subunit ribosomal RNA", at positions 1057 to 1382 of the family's 1533-position model. The record is from RNAcentral. Lineage: Bacteria; Bacillati; Mycoplasmatota; Mollicutes.